GCAGUCGAACGGGAUCCUGCAAGCUUGCUUGCGGGUGAGAGUGGCGAACGGGUGAGUAAUGCGUGACCAACCUGCCCCAUGCUCCGGAAUAGCUCCUGGAAACGGGUGGUAAUGCCGGAUGUGCCGGGCUCCUGCAUGGGGGUCCGGGAAAGCUCUGGCGGCGUGGGAUGGGGUCGCGUCCUAUCAGCUUGUUGGCGGGGUGAGGGCCCACCAAGGCUUCGACGGGUAGCCGGCCUGAGAGGGCGACCGGCCACAUUGGGACUGAGAUACGGCCCAGACUCCUACGGGAGGCAGCAGUGGGGAAUAUUGCACAAUGGGCGCAAGCCUGAUGCAGCGACGCCGCGUGCGGGAUGGAGGCCUUCGGGUUGUAAACCGCUUUUGUUUGGGAGCAAGCCCUUCGGGGUGAGUGUACCUUUCGAAUAAGCACCGGCUAACUACGUGCCAGCAGCCGCGGUAAUACGUAGGGUGCGAGCGUUAUCCGGAUUUAUUGGGCGUAAAGGGCUCGUAGGCGGUUCGUCGCGUCCGGUGUGAAAGUCCAUCGCCUAACGGUGGAUCUGCGCCGGGUACGGGCGGGCUGGAGUGCGGUAGGGGAGACUGGAAUUCCCGGUGUAACGGUGGAAUGUGUAGAUAUCGGGAAGAACACCAAUGGCGAA
Molecule: ribosomal RNA, 653 nt
Filed under: Bifidobacterium thermophilum
Lineage: Bacteria; Bacillati; Actinomycetota; Actinomycetes; Bifidobacteriales; Bifidobacteriaceae
Description: bacterial SSU rRNA
Rfam family: Bacterial small subunit ribosomal RNA
Source: RNAcentral